Sander lucioperca (pikeperch) is the source of this 2071-nucleotide long non-coding RNA. RefSeq lists it as uncharacterized. The transcript is spliced from 4 exons. NCBI's taxonomy places the organism in Eukaryota, Metazoa, Chordata, Actinopteri, Perciformes, Percidae. The record is from RefSeq and is a predicted model, not a curated record.
AGCUGGUUGAAGGUACAGUUGGAGCUGCUGGAGUUGCAGGUGGUGGUCAUUCCUCUGCUGUCCACCGCUGAUAACACUUGGGUCUGGUCUGGCCCCGAGUUACCCCAGGUCACUGAUGCCAUGUUAGUGCUGCACUGCAGAUUCACCAACACCCCAUCUGGCUUACAUGGGGCUGAGGGUAAAGAGGUGGAUGAAUAAGAGAGAUAACACUGUGGGUCGACUGACACAGGUACUGUUGAAAGACAUCACUUUCAGUGUGUAAUCGAGUCCACACUUCAGUGUGGUGAUCGUCAGCCCAGGCAUCGUGGUGGUGUAGGACAUGUUCCAGUUGCCGUUCGAGACCACAACUAUGUAGCCUUCUGCGUUACUCGUCGCAUUCCAGCUGAGAGUCAGUACUUGUGACUGGCAGUCUAAUUUGGCGUUCACGUUGGGCCCACAAGGAACUGGACAGAGAGAAGAGAGAAAGUUUUCUUAAUUUCAAAGGACACCCAAGCAGCUAUCAGUACAAUGACCCAGAAAAAGAAAAUUGAGCAGCCUCACAGUACCUGUCUCUAUGGCGACCAUCUCACUGUUAGAGCUGUUGCACACAAAGUUGGAGGCAAUGACGUACGCUGUGUAGUUGGUGCUGCACUUCAAGCCCUUGAUCUUACACGUCAAAUCCAUGGCGUUGCAGCUGUGAAUGACACCAUCACUGUCCAUUGCCAUGGCGACGUAGAAAAUUGCACCGCCGGACAUUAACCAGGUCAUUGUGAUGGAGUCACCUCCACAUUCCUUCACUGCUGAUACGUUCUGGGGAACGCAUGGGACUAGAGGAGAAGGGACAAAUCAAACAUGAGAAUAAAUUCUACCUUUAAACCUUUUCACAGCUGCACAUGGUCAGAGUUGAGUUUGCCAGUCCAUCCCGACUCACAAUCAUACGUGAUUGAUGGCUUACACUUUCUUCUCCUCACUUGUCUCAGCCACAGGCCCCAGCAUCCUCGGACUGGCACAUUUGUCGUCAAAAGCUGUGAUGUAGAUGCUCAAGACCUCUCCACACUGGACGCCCUCUAUUGCGCAGCUGUUGGACAUUGAGCUGCAGUUGUAGUAGCUGUUGUUUCCCGUGUUGCCGAAGGCCUCCACAGUAUAACGUAGAGCACCCUCAGCGAGGUCCCACUUGCUGAGCAGAACAUCUGAGUUGCAGUCGGCUGAGGUUUGCAUAUUCUGGGGAAUACAAGGUGCUGGAGACAGUAAAAGUGAUUUUGAUUAAUCUUUAGUUGUUUUUUUUUGCCAAUUUAUAAAAGACAAUAACUCAAAAUUGCCACCUAAAAAAAGAGCGAAACAUUUUUUUGUCGUUUUGAAAGUUUUAGAGAAUCCAUCAGAGGGCGCUCACAUGAGAAUGAACUGUCACAGAGCUCAGUUCAGCUACUCACUAAUGUUUUAAAUUGUGUUGUGCAAAACUCUCAAGAACUAUAAAUUAUGGAAAUUGAUUUGCUAUAUAACCAGGGUUCAAAAUUAACGUUUUUCAUUCACCAGCCAAAUGUUCAUUAGAUGUCCAUUGUUUUUUUGGCUUGUGAGUGAAGACAAUCUACCAGCCACUUGCAUAUUUUAGCAGCGUUUGGCUGGUGGAUGGUGCUCAUUUUGAACCCUGAUUGUAACCCUUUGUCAAAUGGUUGCACAAUUUAAAAGAAAAAGAGUGAUUUUACGUUUUAUUUUAAUACUUUUUUGGGAGUUGAGGAGAUAAAAUUAUCAAAUUAUUUUUCUUGAUAAAGCAAAUUAAGAAAAAGAUACAUAAAGUUAUGUUUUGUUAUACAAACUUGUAUGUGUAUGUGUGUAUCUACUGCUGUAGAGAUAAUGUAGUCAUACCGGUGCGCAUGUCAACAGUAGAGCUAAUCUGGCUUCUGCACUGCCCUGCCAUGGAGUAGACUGUGAAGUAAUAGUGUCGUCCACACACUGGUUGUGUGAAAUAGCAGGAGUUUUCUUCAGUCAGACACUCCUGGACCACUCCCUACAGAGAAAUCACAAAGUAUUCCCUAUGUAAUUAAAUUACAGACAGGUAUUAUUCAAUGUUUUGGGACAUAUGCUCAUUUGCUUU